Molecule: small nuclear RNA, 117 nt
Organism: Tupaia belangeri (northern tree shrew)
Lineage: Eukaryota; Metazoa; Chordata; Mammalia; Scandentia; Tupaiidae
Gene: U5
Rfam family: U5 spliceosomal RNA
About the family: U5 RNA is a component of both types of known spliceosome. The precise function of this molecule is unknown, though it is known that the 5' loop is required for splice site selection and p220 binding, and that both the 3' stem-loop and the Sm site are important for Sm protein binding and cap methylation.
Source: Ensembl
AUCCUCUGGUUUCUCUUCAGAUAGUAUAAAUCGUUUGCUUUUUACUAAAGAUUUCUGUGGAGAGGAUCAAUUCUGAGUCUUUAGCCAAUUUUUUGAGGCCGUGGCAUUGCAAAGGCU